UACGAACUGUGCGAACGUUAUUCGGAAUCACUGGGCUUACAGGGUGCGUAGGCGGCUUGUCAAGUAGGGUGUGAAAGCCCCCGGCUCAACCGGGGAAUUGCGCCCUAAACUGGCGAGCUAGAGUGAGAUAGGGGUGUGUGGAACUUCCGGUGGAGCGGUGAAAUGUGUUGAUAUCGGAAGGAACGCCGGUGGCGAAAGCGACACACUGGAUCUUGUCUGACGCUGAGGCACGAAAGCCAGGGGAGCGAACAGG
Molecule: ribosomal RNA, 253 nt
Filed under: uncultured bacterium
Lineage: Bacteria
Description: partial 16S ribosomal RNA
Rfam family: Bacterial small subunit ribosomal RNA
Source: RNAcentral